UAGCCGUAGGUGAACCUGCGGCUGGAUCAUUAUCGAGCUAACCAAAAAACUCUAGUGCUUCUUGCGCUAGUGCGUGGUAGGAUCAUGUGCGGUACAUUUGCUUGAUGUACGACUGCACGCCACAAGUGUCCCAACGGCUCCCGGUUGGCGUCUAUCUGGUGCUGAGCAGCUGUUGCCUAUGUCCGUGGCUGUGACGACGCAUCAGGGUAGCGCAUACGUCCCUUCAAUGGGGUAGCGGAUGCGUAGACUCAAUGAGCACCAUGCCUGGGUGCUGCCAACCAAACCAUUUUUUUCAAUGAAUUUUUCUUAAUGAAAGACAAAUAUCAGUCUUACCGGUGGAUCACUCGGUUCGU
Molecule: unclassified non-coding RNA, 353 nt
Filed under: root metagenome
Description: partial contains small subunit ribosomal RNA, internal transcribed spacer 1, and 5.8S ribosomal RNA
Source: RNAcentral